ACAACAGCCCCUACGACAGAAACGCCGACAUAAAGGCAUUUGACGACACCAAAGCCGGCGUUAAAGGACUGGUGGACUCCGGAGUCACCACCAUCCCUCGCUUAUUCAUCCACCACCGUACUCCUCCGACUGAUCAGUAUUGGAAAUGAUUUUUCAUUUUCCCGCCAAACUUCACACUCUCCAAGCUUCAAGUGAAACGGAGCGUUUCUUCCUCUCUACACCAACGACUAAAUGAAACGGAGCGUUCUGUUAAGUGAUGAAGAUAAGAACAAAACGUCAUCGUUGCACUGAUCAGAACAGCUCAUCGUCCUCUUCUCUGUUCCUCUGCAUUUCUGCAAAUUCCGUUAGAGCCUCAAGCUCACCUACUCUCUUUCAGCCAGCUACCAGCUGUGCACAUUGUCUUUUAGCUUCUCAUCACUUUGUAUAUGUACAACCUUUCUAUCAAUGAGAACGUCGAGCCAUUUCAUUUGAACACAAACGAGUUAAUAGAAGCUCGAUGUUCGUUAGGUCAUCAAGUAUGAGAUGAAACAGGGAGAGUCACCAAUGUUGAUUCCGCUACGGCAAGUCGAAUUUUGGGUAUUAGCUUAACUAUGAGUUGCGUAGUGGUUUUUCGCGGAGCCGGUAGCCCGCACAGUAGGAAAUUUCAUCGACGACUUCGUAUCAUACGACACUACCCAAUACUAUGAUAGCGAGAAUCCUGUGAUGCGCUUCCGAGCACGAAUGGCUGCACAUAACCAACUAAAGAGAUAAAAAGAAGAUUAAACGGUCCGGAGGACAGGUGGUCACGACUCAUUUCAAAUAUGAAAAACUUCCUAGUUACUACUUCAUUUGUGGUGUAAUGGGACACAUGGAGCGCACUUGCGAUAUACGAUUCGAGCAUCCAUAUGGUGAAGUGUCGAGACUAUGGGAUGUCAAGUUGGGUGCUCCAUCACGUUUAUCCACACAACCAAGAGGCGGGGCUCGCUGGCUGGUGGAGGAAAUGACGGACAAGCCAUCGAGAGGCCUCACGACCGAGCACCCUCCACGCUCCAUGGCUGAGCUAGCAGUGGCUACGCAACUGGAGGAAGACACGAUGGAGAUCAAUGGGAAAUUGAAACAGCGCCUCAUAACUGAUGAACUAGGGCAACCAGAUGAAGACAAGACCACGCAAAUGGGUGGAUAUCUCAACACACACAUUGGAACCUUGGUAGCCCCAGGAGGCUCUUCUUUGUUUCUUUCACUUUAAAGCAAUGUCGUUUAGCUGGCUUUUUCAUUAUUUCGAACUUUGCUGUUUUAUUUCUUUUCCGUUGUUUGUCCUGUUUUUUCAUUUUUGCACUCUGUCAAGUGUCUUAGUUACUGACUUUUUUAGAAUUAAUUCGUCAGGAGAGAAAGGAAAUGGGUCAUGUUAUCUUUCUGAUAACGACUUCAACUCCAUAUAUCCUCGUCUGCAAGGUUACACCUCCCAUUAAACUUAUUAAUGUUUUUGAACCUCUAUAAUCAUUUUUAAAUUAACAUUAAUAAAAUUAACCGGGUUACUGCUCUUCUCAUAAAAAAAAUAUAUUUUCAAAUGUACACGAAAUUGAACUUUUUUAGAGACUUAAAUUUAAGAUUUGUGUAAAACCAUACAAUAAAAUAAAUUAUCAUUUCCUUUUUAAAUUGACGGUAUUUUUUUUUUAUUAAAUUUUUUUUUUUAUUUUUUUUUUUUUUUUUUUUGCUGGCUCCUUCAUACAACAUCAACUAUGCAGGCCAGCAAGCUGCUCAACCAGGAGGUUUUCGACCAGGACCUCAAAAGGGCAAGAAUCUAUUUUGCACCUUCUGCAAAAUGCAAAACCACACAGUGGAUAGAUGCUUCUUCAAAAUUGGCUUUCCACCAGGAGUCACUCCCAGGCCCAUGCCACAGCAAGGACCAAGACAACAAUAUGGUCCUAGACCUUCCUAUGCUGCAAAUCAUGGAGCCUUCAAACCACAGGUUCAUGCAGCUUCACAAUCAAGUGAAGGAGGCAACAUCCAACUGACACAGGAUCAGUUCUCCCAACUUAUGAAUGCUGUGAGGCUCAAGGAUCCAGCAGCACAACCAGGCACAUCCCAAACACCAGGUUCUCAUAAGCCAACUGCACUGAUGUACUCAGCAGGCAAGUAUUGUUGUAGUAGUUUCAUGCAUUCCACACCAAAUGAAAUUAUUUGGAUUGUAGACACAGGUGCAUCAGACCAUGUAGUCAGCUCACUCAACCUAAUGGAAUCGAGCAAACAAAUUGAUGCUUUGAUGAUCACUCUGCCUACUGGACAGCAAGUCCAAGCCACUCAUUCUGGAACAGUGUUGAUUAAUGACACCUUAUCACUACAUAAUGUUCUAUAUGUGCCUGAUUUCGCAUUCAAUUUGAUAUCAGUCAGUAGACUAACAGCUCAACAACCAUUGAGACUGACUUUCUCUUCCACCCAUUGUGUGUUGCAGGACCUAUCGAGGAACACCACGAUUGGUUUAGCUGAACUGCACAAGGGACUCUACAAGCUGACAACCUGCAAACCAGUUAGUCACAUCGCCUCCACUCAACGAAAUAAGCCCUUUGAUUUAUGGCAUUACCGUCUAGGACAUGUUUCCCACCAUAGAACUCCCUUUCUUAAGAAAAUUCUCCCUAGUAUAGAAACUUUCCACUUAGCCCCCUGUGAUGUUUGUCAUUUUGCUCGUCAAAAACGUCUGUCUUUCCCUCAUAGUGUCUCCAGCACUAAAACUCCUUUUGAAUUAAUUCAUGUUGAUCUUUGGGGUCCAAACUCCUGCCCCUCAUAUGAUGGCUAUCUCUAUUUCUUAACCAUUGUUGAUGAUUUCACACGAAUGACUUGGAUCAUGAUGCUGAAACUAAAGUCAGAAGCUAGAUCAUCUCUACAAAAUUUCUGCUCCUAUGUCACAAACCAACACAAAACUAGUGUUCAACGAAUACGUAGUGAUCAAGGCAAAGAAUUUUUUAUGCCUCUCUUCUAUCAGGAAAAUGGGAUUCUCCAUGAAACAUCUUGUGUAGAAACACCUCAACAAAACAGUAAGGUUGAGAGAAAGCACCAACAAAUUUUAAACAUAGCUAGAGCUCUCAAAUUUCAAGCCAACCUUCCCUUGACUUUCUGGUCUGAUUGUGUUAAGCAUUCUGUGUUUCUAAUGAACCGUAUCCCCACUCACCUCCUUGACAAUAACACCCCCUACGAAGCCUUUCACCAUUCUAAACCCAAACUGGAAGACUUAAAAGUCUUUGGUUGCUUGUGUUAUGCAAGCACACUUGCUGGACACAGAACCAAAUUCCAGAAACGAGCUAGAAAAGGAGUCUUCAUAGGGUUCACACCUGGAAUCAAGGGUUACAAAGUCUAUGACUUAGAUUCUCACCAAACAUUUGUCUCUAGGGAUGUCAAAUUCUAUGAAAAUGUCUUUCCUUUUCACACCAGCAACAGCACCAACCAAGUCUACUCUUCCGCUGAUCAAAUGCCUUCCUUUGACCAAGACUUCACCGAUUUACCGGAUACUGGCCACUCCACCAAUCCUUCUGAUCAUCCUACACCUGAAACUGAACCACACCCUAUCAUUCAUAGUGAGGAUGAGUACAUUCCCAGCACUGAUAAUGUCAAUGAUGACGAACACAGUAAUACCAGUGACAGUGAACACAAUAUUCCUUCCCAGUCACCUGCCUCUCAAACCUCUUCUCAAUCCCCUGUCCCUCAAAAUUCUCCACACAACAGAAAAAGCACCAGACAUCACAAACCACCCUCCUACCUGCAGGAUUAUCAUUGUCAGCUCCUUGUGCAUCAAGGCAACCCCAACUGUGAUGUUUCAAAGGUAUGUCCUAAUGCACACAUAGCUGGAAAGAUAGCUCAUCCUCUCAAUACUGUCUUGUCUUAUGAUGAUAUGGAUCGUGAACAUAAACACUUUGCUUUGAGUAUAACAACAGAAAGGGAACCUAGGUCCUAUGCAGAAGCUGCCAGAGACCCUAGGUGGACUGAAGCAAUGAAUCAGGAAACAAAGGCUUUGGAGAUUAACAACACAUGGGAAGUUGUUGAUCUGCCUGAAGGAAAGAAAGAAGUUGGAAGCAAAUGGGUUUACAGAAUUAAGUAUAAAUCUGAUGGCUCAGUUGAAAGGUUCAAAGCAAGAGCAGUAGCAAAGGGGUUCACACAAGAAGAAGGGGUCGACUAUCAAGAAACUUUCUCACCAGUCGUCAAAAUGACAACCAUAAGGACCUUUCUUGCACUUGCUGCUUCAAGAGACUGGUUUGUACACCAGUUAGACGUGAACAACGCAUUUCUUCAUGGUGACCUGCAUGAAGAAGUCUACAUGAAGGUGCCUCAAGGAAUGAGAGUAAGCAGUGCACUGAAAAGACCAGUAUGCAAAUUGCUAAAAUCGCUCUAUGGUCUCAAGCAAGCAUCAAGGCAGUGGUACUGCAAGCUUUCAGACAAACUACAACAGUUAGGCUACACUCAAAGCAAAGUCGAUCACUCUCUCUUCCUGAAGAAUGGUGGUAUGUCGUUCACAGCUAUUUUGGUUUAUGUUGAUGAUUUGAUUGUGGGAGGAAACGACUUAACAGAGAUUUUGAAGUUGAAAGAGGAACUACACAGUGCAUUUAAGAUCAAAGACUUGGGUGAACUAAAGUAUUUUCUGGGAUUAGAAGUCACAAGAAGUGUGUCAGGAAUACAUUUAUCUCAAAGAAAAUACAUACUAGAACUACUGGAAGAAGCAGACAUGUUGGAGAGCAAGCCACUUGCUACCCCAAUGGACUACAAGACACAUCUGUCCUCUACAGGUGAUGAUGAAUUCCACAAUCCGGAAUUAUACAGAAGAAUAGUAGGGAAGCUGAUCUACUUAAACAAUACAAGACCAGACAUUAGCUUUGCCACUCAACAGGUGAGCCAGUUUAUGUCUAGACCCUUAAACGAUCAUUACAAGGCUGUUUCAAGGGUCCUCAGAUACUUGAAGGGAGUUCCUGCUACUGGAAUUCUUCUAUCUUCUACUUCAAAUCUUCAGUUGCAGGCUUAUAGUGAUUCAGACUGGGCAGCAUGUCCAGACACCAGAAGAUCUGUGACAGGGUUCUGUGUCUUCCUGGGAAACUCACCAAUUUCCUGGAAAAGCAAGAAACAAAGCACCAUUUCCAGAAGUUCCUGUGAGGCAGAGUAUCGUGCACUUGCUCAUACUGCUAGUGAGCUGCAGUGGCUACUCUAUCUGCUCUCAGAAUUCCAAGCAAAGCACUACCAAGCAGCAACAAUCUUCUGUGAUAACCAGUCUGCAAUGCAUGUGGCAGAGAAUGCAGUCUUCCAUGAAAGAACAAAACAUAUUGAAUUGGAUUGCCAUUUUGUUCGAGAAAAGGUCCAAUCCAAGAUAAUCAAGCUCAUCCAUGUCCCUACUGGAGUUCAGGUUGCUGAUGUUCUGACGAAAGCCCUCUCCCCAGCACCAUUCAACUACUUAAUAUCCAAGCUUGGUCUGCACAAUCUGUGCCCACCAGCUUGAGGAGGGGUAUUGGAAAUGAUUUUUCAUUUUCCCGCCAAACUUCACACUCUCCAAGCUUCAAGUGAAACGGAGCGUUUCUUCCUCUCUACACCAACGACUAAAUGAAACGGAGCGUUCUGUUAAGUGAUGAAGAUAAGAACAAAACGUCAUCGUUGCACUGAUCAGAACAGCUCAUCGUCCUCUUCUCUGUUCCUCUGCAUUUCUGCAAAUUCCGUUAGAGCCUCAAGCUCACCUACUCUCUUUCAGCCAGCUACCAGCUGUGCACAUUGUCUUUUAGCUUCUCAUCACUUUGUAUAUGUACAACCUUUCUAUCAAUGAGAACGUCGAGCCAUUUCAUUUGAACACAAACGAGUUAAUAAUCAGGAAAACGAAGACGUCGUUUCGGAUGCCAAUGUGCCGGUGAUAGACCUGUCGGUGUCAGAGGAGGAGGUGGUGGAGCAGAUCAGGGAAGCGGCGGAGACGUGGGGGUUCUUUCUGAUAGUCAACCACGGCGUGGCGGCAGAGGUCAUGG
RNAcentral lists this long non-coding RNA (5963 nucleotides) under Linum usitatissimum (flax). RNAcentral's name for it is "long non-coding RNA (LUSI_LNC004074)". The record is from RNAcentral. Lineage: Eukaryota; Viridiplantae; Streptophyta; Magnoliopsida; Malpighiales; Linaceae.